GAGAACUCUGAUAUGACUACAAGUAAAUUGACCGAAACGAAAAAUAAAGUGAACACAAGGAUUUACGUGGUUCGGCUUUAAUGCCUACGUCCACGGGCAGAGGCGAAAAGAAAAUUUCACUAUAACAAGAUGAAGAUUACAAGUGUUUUACACUCAAGACACAACCCGAGAACCUCACGACUCUCAACCCCUAUAGAAAACCCGAAAGCUAAAAUCCUAGCUUUCAAAGAACAAGCUUUGCUCUCUCUUGGUUUGGGAUGAUCAAUAUGGCUAAUGAACCUCUCUAUUUAUAAGAGAGUUCAAGGACAUAAUUGUCCAAAACUUUGGCAAAGAUUUGUGGUUGAAAAUGGACACCAACAACCAUCCACUAAUCCACUACCACCAACAACCCACUACCAACAACAACAAUCCACUACCAAUUUUAAGCCAUUUCUUAACAAAUCUCCACCUUGGCUUGAAAUUUACCAAGCUGAACAUCAUAGUGAAUUCCUCGAACUGGAUCACCUCUUCCAAACGCCUCUCUGGCGCUAAUCAAUCCCGAAUACCUAUCAAGUCCAAGCAAUGCUUGAACUUAUAUGCAGGGAUCACCUUAGUUAACAUAUCUGCAGGAUUCUUCUCGGUAGCAACCUUGCUGAUAACAAUGUCACCUUGCGUAACAUGUUCCCGAACAAAAUGAUAUCUGACAUCAAUGUGUUUGGUCCGUUCAUGAAACAUCUGAUUUUUAGUCAGAUGUAUGGCACUCUGGCUAUCGCAAAAUACAACAGUGAAAUCCUGUUGUAAACCCAAACUGCUUACUAGACCUUUCAUCCACAAUGCUUCUUUCACUGCUUCUGCUAACGCCAUAUAUUCCGCCUCAGUCGUAGAUAAGGCUACGGUAGACUGUAACACAGCUUUCCAACUAAUGGCUCCUCCAGAAUAAGUGAAAACAUAACCCGUCAGAGAUCUUCUUUUGUCCAGAUCUCCAGCAUAAUCAGAGUCCACAUAGCCCGUGACACUGCUAGUGCAGUCACUCUGAUCAUAUACCAAGCAUAAAUCUGCAGAACCUCUCAAGUACCUGAGAAUCCAUUUCACGGCCUGCCAGUGUUCCUUGCCAGGACAACUCAUGUAUCUGCUGACCACACUAACUGCAUGUGAAAUGUCUGGACGAGUGCAAACCAUUGCAUACAUCACGCUUCCAACUGCACUCGAGUAUGGAAUGUGAGACAUUUGCUGCUUUUCUUCAUCAGAUUGUGGUGACAACUCUGCAGAGAGUUUGAAAUGUGGUGCCAACGGAGUACUCACAGUUUUCGCUUUAUCCAUGCCGAAGCGUUGAAGAACCUUUUCAAUGUAGUUCUUCUGCGACACACGAAGCUUGCCCGCCUUGCGAUCUCUGUGAAUAUCCAUGCCCAAAAUUUUCUUGGCAGCACCCAGAUCCUUCAUCUCGAACUCACCACUCAACUGCGACUUUAACUUGUUGAUUUCCGACAUGUUUUUGGAAGCAAUUAACAUGUCAUCAACAUACAGCAACAAAUAAAUGUGCGAACCAUCUGAGAGCUUCCGAUGAUAGACACAAGCAUCAUAGUCACAUCUUGUGUAACCAUGCUGAAUCAUGAAGCUAUCAAACCGCUUGUACCACUGCCUUGGGGAUUGUUUCAAUCCAUAUAAAGACUUCUUUAAUAGACAGACAUGGUCUUCUUUACCAGGAACUGUAAAACCCUCUGGUUGGCGCAUGUAGAUUGUUUCCUCGAGCUCACCAUGCAAGAACGCUGUUUUUACGUCAAGCUGCUCAAGUUCUAGAUCAGACUUGGCCACCAUGGCAAGUAAUACACGAAUGGAAGAAUGCUUUACGACUGGGGAGAAAACUUCAUUGUAGUCAAUCCCCUCUUUCUGAGUGAAGCCUUUAGCAACCAAUCGUGCCUUGAAUCUAGUUGCUUCAACCCCUAGGAUGCCUUCCUUUUUCUUGAAGACCCAUUUGCAACCAACUAUCUUCUGGUUACUUGGCGGCUUAACCAACUCCCAAGUAUGGUUCUUGUGAAGAGAUUCUAUCUCCUCACUCAUAGCAAUUGCCCACUGUGCCGACUCAUCACACGUGACAGCCUCAUUAUAACUGGAAGGUUCUAUACCAAUGGACUCCGCCACACUGAGCGCGAAAGACACCAGAUUAGCGUAACGCGGAUUUGGUUUGAUUUGUCUCUUCGUUCUUCCAGUGGCAAUGCUAUAUGGUUUUUCUUGAGGUGACUCAUCUUCAUCGGAAUCUUGCACCUCAACUUGAUCAUCCUGGACUGAAGUACCUUCCGUAGGAAUUGGAGCGUCCACCUGACACUCCACCUGCUUCUCAACACCGUGAUCUCCCAUUCUAUCUGACUCCUCCUUUUCCCGGGAAUUUGUGGUGGAUCGAAGCAUGGAUGACUCAUCAAAAGUCACAUCUCUGCUGAUGAUGAACUUGGACGAAACCGGAUCAGGACACCACAACCUGUAUCCUUUCACCCCUUGGCCGUAUCCAAGAAAUAUGCAUUUCUUCGCCCUCGGUUUGAGUUUUCCCUCAUUUACAUGAGCAUACGCAGGGCAGCCAAACACUCUUAAACCAGAGUAAUCAGCAGGAGAACCAGACCAUACUUCCUCAGGAGUCUUCAGCUCAAUAGCUGUUGACGGAGAUCUGUUAACCAAAUAACAAGCAGUAUUAACAGCUUCAGCCCAAAAUUCUUCACCGAGCCCAGCAUUUGAUCGCAUGCAACGAGCUCGCUCCAAGAGAGUUCUAUUCAUGCGUUCUGCAACUCCAUUUUGUUGUGGUGUUCGACGAACAGUGCGGUGUCUCACUAUUCCUUCAUUUUUGCAGAACUCAUUGAAUUCACCUGAGCAAAACUCCAAGCCAUUAUCCGUCCGGAAUCGCUUGAUCUUCUUUCCUGUUUGAUUUUCGAUCAAAGCUUUAAAUUGCUUGAAGUUGAUGAGAACCUCAUACUUGCUCUUCAGAAAAUACACCCAAACCUUUCUCGAGUAAUCAUCGAUAAAGGUAAGCAGAUAUCUGUAACCACCUUUAGAAUUUGUCGGAGAAGGCCCCCAAAGGUCAGAAUGGAAGUAAUCCACUGUGCCUUUUGUCUUGUGAAUCCCAGUGCUGAACUUUACCCGAGUCUGCUUACCGAAGACGCAGUGCUCACAGAAAUUCAACUUUCCUGUACACUGCCCAGACAAUAAUCCUCGUUUGCUUAGCACCGAUAAGCCUCUCUCGCUCAUAUGCCCGAGCCGCAUAUGCCAUAACUUCGUGGUGUCAGAAUCUAGAUCAUCUGAUGAUGACACUCCCGCAACACCUGUAACCGAGGAACCAUCGAGGAAGUAAAGGCCCCGCUCCAAAUUACCACGUAUCACAGUCAAAGCACCCGAGAAUACCUUGAGAACUCCACCUUCAGCAGAGUACCGAAAGCCUUUCUUGUCCAACGUACUCAAAGAGAUCAAAUUUUUCUUCAUUUCUGGAAUGUGCCGAACAUCAGUUAGAGUUCUAACAAUACCGUCAAACAUCUUUAUACGAACUGUGCCAAUCCCCAUGACUUGACAUGCGUGGUCAUUUCCCAUUAGUACUGAACCAGAAUGCUUCUCGUAUGUUGAGAAUGCAUCUUUCGAAGUACUUAUAUGAAAUGUAGCUCCCGUAUCAAGAAUCCAUCUCCCACCAGCGUAAGAGUCGGAUACUGCAAGAACGAUCUCGGCAUCACUUGAAGAAUCUGCAUCAGCUACAUUCGCACGAUCAUUUUGUUGCUCCUGUGAUUCUGAUUUCUCCUUCCUUUUCGGACAAUCUACCUUCAUGUGCCCGUACUUCUUACAGUAGUAGCACUGUAUUCUCUUCUUGGACUGCGAUCUAGGAUGGCUUUUACUUGAACUUCCACCCUUUGCCUUGGAUCUUCCUCGAGCAACCAAGCCUUCGCCUUCAUUGUUUUCGACCACCUUACCAGUGAUUUUCUUCCUCAACUCACUGGAACUUAAGGCAUUUUUCACCUCCUCUAGAGUCAGGUCAUCACGACCGUACAUCAUUGUAUCAACAAAAUUCUCAUACGAGGGAGGCAAAGAACACAAAACAAUUAUUGCUUGGUCCUCAUCAUCGAUUUUGUUAUCGAUAUUAUUCAAAUCCAUGAUAAUGGAAUUGAAUUUAUCCAGGUGCUGGGAAACAGGUGUACCUUCCUCCAUCUUCAGGGCAUAGAGUCUUUGCUUGAGGUAGAGCCGGUUCGUCAAUGACUUCGUCAUGUACUUGCUCUCUAACCGGAGCCACAAACCGGACGCGGUUUUCUCAUCCGCUACUUCUCGUAGCACUUCAUCUCCUAGACAUAGCAGAAUAGCACUAUGUGCUCUUUCUAGCAUGUCAUCCUUUUGCUCUUCCGAAAGCGUGCUUGGUAAUUUAUCUUUACCAGACAAUGCUUUUAGCAAUCCUUGUUGAACCAGCACUGCCCGCAUCUUGAUGCGCCAUAAACUGAAACUAUUUUUCCCGGUAAAUUUCUCGACAUCAUACUUAGUCGAUGAAACACUUGUAGCCAUAAUUUGGAACCUUUGAAUGAAUGAUAAUAUUUUCUUCCUGAUGUGAAAGAUCAGACAAAGCUGCAGUCACAGGGCAAUUCAGAAAAUAUUAUCACUCCUUCAACUACGCUCUGAUACCAAUUUGUUGCGGAAAGGAUCGAUUCGAGAACUCUGAUAUGACUACAAGUAAAUUGACCGAAACGAAAAAUAAAGUGAACACAAGGAUUUACGUGGUUCGGCUUUAAUGCCUACGUCCACGGGCAGAGGCGAAAAGAAAAUUUCACUAUAACAAGAUGAAGAUUACAAGUGUUUUACACUCAAGACACAACCCGAGAACCUCACGACUCUCAACCCCUAUAGAAAACCCGAAAGCUAAAAUCCUAGCUUUCAAAGAACAAGCUUUGCUCUCUCUUGGUUUGGGAUGAUCAAUAUGGCUAAUGAACCUCUCUAUUUAUAAGAGAGUUCAAGGACAUAAUUGUCCAAAACUUUGGCAAAGAUUUGUGGUUGAAAAUGGACACCAACAACCAUCCACUAAUCCACUACCACCAACAACCCACUACCAACAACAACAAUCCACUACCAAUUUUAAGCCAUUUCUUAACA
Molecule: long non-coding RNA, 5079 nt
Filed under: Gossypium barbadense (sea-island cotton)
Lineage: Eukaryota; Viridiplantae; Streptophyta; Magnoliopsida; Malvales; Malvaceae
Description: long non-coding RNA (GBAR_LNC009855)
Source: RNAcentral